AUCUUGUACAACUGAGAAAAGGCUAUUUUCCUUUCUAUUCCCAGUCAGUUUUCUUCAGAAGGUUAUCAUACCUAAUUUUUCUAAGAUUCCACUCAUUUCCUUGAAUUUUUUCUUACACAUUUCAUAGUUAGGUUUAUCUAGCUCUGAGAGGAGAAAAUUGAGGUCCCCAUGUGAGUGCAGUUUUAUGAUUUCCUUCUGUUAUACAUUUAACUUUGGCUUUAAGAAUUUGCCUUGUAUGCCAUUUGGUGCAUGUGUUUAAUGUUAGUAUUACUUUAUUAACUAUGAUUUGUUUUAGCAAGAAGUAGUUUCUCUGCUUGUCCCUUCUUAUUAGGUCUAUUUUUGCUUUUGCUUUCUCUGACAUCAUGAUUGCUACUUCUGCCAUUUUAACAUCAGUCACAGCAUAAUAAAUUUUGCUUGAGCCCCUUAUUUUGACUCUGUUUCCAUUAUUAUGUUUCAAGUAUGUUUCUGUUAAACAAUAUAUUGUUGGAUUGUGGUCUAAUCUGUUUUGCAAUUUGCUUCCAUUUUAGGGGUGAAUUCAUCCCAUUCACACUCAUAGUUAUGAUUACUAAUGUGCAUUUCCCUAUAUUCUAUUUACUUUUUUUUAAACCAUUCUCUCUCUUUUAUCUUGACCCUCCUCUGUUUUGCUUCUGACCACAGCCUUUUUUUAUCUUUCUUCCCUUGAACUAUGACCCAGACAUGGGUAUAGGCAAUGGAACUUUUAGACAGCUUCUGUUCCUUCAUCUAAUGCUGGCACAGGGGUACCCUGUAAUCUCUGUUAGACCAGUUGCCAGAUAACCUUACUGUGUCUGACUUGAGAGUCCCCAAAGCUGCUUCUGCUUCUGUUACUACUAGCUAGUGCCACCACUAGUGUAUUACUCCAGGUGUGCUCUGGCUCAGCUUCCUCAACUGUACUAUAGACCUCUCUUUCUAAUCUCCUCUGUUGUCUUGGAUUGGAGGAAAGUCUCACUUUGCAUUUUUGUUGGCUUUAAAGGCCCAGAUUUGAUUUUAGGCAUUAUUUUCAUGUUAUUUGGAAGGGAGUAUUGGGAGAGCUUAGCUGAGUAUUUUCUCUUUUCUAACAUCUUGGCCAUGCUUCUGGAAGUGAGGGGCAACCAUUUUAUAUAUAGUUAUCAGGAUACUACUAAGUACCAGGCAUUGUGCUAGGAAUAUAGACCCAAAGACAGUCGUACCCUUAGUGAGCUUACAUUCUCUUGGGGGACAGAUAAGUAAAUUCAAAGUGUAUCCAAAUUAUACAAAGCAAUUUUAUGAGGAUUGGGUUGGGAAUAAGUGGGGGCAUUAGGAAUAACCUCAUAUACUAUCUUGUGCUUGAGUUAAUACUUUGAAGGAUUCAGUAAGAUGGAGGUGAUGAAGGCACAAAUGUCAGAUAUCAGGGUCCCUUGUGGAAGGGAGUGGAGAUGAAAUGGUAUAAAUGGGGAAGUAGAUUAUUUUGAUUAGAAUGGAGGGUGUGUGUGAAGGGAUAUAGAAAGGAAAACUACAAAGGAGUCAGUUGAGGGAAAUAUGGUUUGGUCUGGUCAGUAUUUUACUGAUAUCACUUUGAUAGCUCCAGCUGAAUGGUAGAUGAAUUAGAAAAGGGAGAAACUGACAGCAGGAAGAUCACUUAAGAGAUGAUUCAAUAAUUGUUUUUGGAAGCGAGAGGUAAACAAGACCUGAAUUAGGGUGGUGAACAUGAGGAUGAAGAAAAAGGAACAGAUGGGAGAACUGUGGAAGUGUAGGAUUGUCAGGUUUUGGCAAAUGAUAUUCUAUGUGGGAUGAAGGGGUAAUAACAACAGUCAGCAUUUAUAAGAUAAUAUGUAAAGCAUUUUGUAAAACUUCAAUUGUUAUAUAAAUGCUAUCUAUUAUUAUUUUUAUAGCAAUUCAAGGUCUGCCAAACCUCAUAGCAACUAUGUGAGUGCAGAUGUUAUUAUUAUUAUUAUUCCUAUUUUAUGGAUGAGAAAAAUGAGUAUGAGAAAGAUUAAGUGACUUACCUUUGGUUGUAAGACCAGUAAGAACCUGAAGUGUUCGUCUGGAAGACGAAUGUUCUAUUUAUUGUCACUUAGCUACCUGUAUUUCAUGCCAAAGAUGAUUCCCAGGUCACAAAGAUGAUUGUGAGCUUAGAUGAACAGAAGGAUGUGGUGUCAACAGCAGGGGUAGAGAUAUUUAGAUGAAGUAUGGUUUUAGGAGGAAACAUGAAUUUCACUUGUGCAUAGUAAUGGUAUAAGGUAAAACACAGAGCUGGAGCUGUCCGGCAGGAGGUAGGUCAUGUAAGGUUGGGGUUUUGAAGGCAACUGGGUGGCUCAGUGGAUUGAGAAUCAGGCCUAGAGAUGGGAGGUCCUAGAUUCAGAUCUGACCUCAGACACUCCCUACCUGUGUGACUCUGGGUAAGUUACUUGACCCCCAUUGUCUAGCCCUUACCACUCUUCUGCCUUGGGACUAAUACACAGUAUUGAUUCUAAGACAGACAGUAAGUGUUUAAAAAAAAGACUGGAAUAGAGCUCAGAGGUUAGCUUUGGAUAUAUUUAACUUGGAGACAUCAGCACAGCUAUGAUACUCAGUGCCACAGCAAUAGAUAAUAUUCCAAGAGAUAGAAAGGGUAAGUGAAAUGAGAAGGGAACCAAGAACACAGUCUUAAAAGCUUUCAUAUUUAAUUGGGGAGCAAAAAUAUUAAGAUCUGUUAACAGUGACUGAAAAACAUUAUGGUAUGACUGUUAAAGGUAAAUUUAGGGUUGAGACUGAAUAUAUUUAGUUGGUCACCAGGGAUUUAAAUUCUAAAUCUCAACAAAAUACUCAAGUCAGAAUGGGAUUUUAUGGUGGUUUAUCUACAAUAGAAAGAAGAAAAUCAAGAAUGAGAGAGAGGAAAAGGGAAUUGAACUGCUUUGGCCCAGUCUGAGUCAGGCAGGAGUUGAGAGGCCUUGGCCAAGGGUUCUCUCCAGAAAGCCAAGGGAAAGGGGAGUCAGCCUUAUCACUCACCAUGUGACUGUCUAAAAGGAAAGCAAUCUGAGGCCUCAUGUUGAGCUCCUCCAGGCUCAAGUUCCAGGGUCAAGUCCACCAAAGGGUUCCUCUCACAGGAAGUGACACAAAAUAUAAAGGCAGUUCUUUACAUCACUUCCUGUGUCUCACAUGUACCAAUUGUGACUUAAGCUUGGCUUGGGAUAGCUCAGGGGGUCAGUCAGUUGUUUCUGAUUUGCCACUUCCUAGCAUAUACCAGUCAUAGGCCUUUCUUCCCCACACCCAAUCCUUAAGAGGGGGUGUAUAUAUUCCUGUUUGCUAGAAUUCUAAAGACUAAGCAGGGUGGAAUAAAACUAAAAUUCACACCAUGUUCUCAAGAUUUGGAUUUAAUUUUUUUCUGAGAGUUUUAGGAAUAAUUAAAAAGAAGUCAGGGCACAUUCUGGGAAAGAAUGGGGAUAUUUAGUUGUGUUUAGGAGACUAAUUUUUUGUUGUUAUUCAUCUUUCCUUUUGAAGAGGACCAUAUCAAGGAUGACUCUUGAUUGUGAGUGAAUUGGAUCUAAAUUAGGAAGAGCUAUACAAAGUCACCAGCCUCACUCUCUAUCCAGAAUCAUGGAAGUCCAGUGGCAAGGAAAAAGUCAGGAUGACUGGCAAUUGCGCAGGAUGUAGGGAAUGACCAUGGUGUCUUCAAUGUUUAACCAAGGUCUAGGUACUCCACUGCACCAUUCUCAAUCACCUUCAUGGCUUGGAAUAGACAUCUCCCCAUAAUUCACUGAGGUCUAUCAAUGAUGCUCAAUGCCUUUUAGCCAUUCAUCUGCUGAGACAGUUUUACUGGGGCAUGGCUGCUUCUUGUUCUAAAGCUUCUUGGAGUCUCAGUACUUCAGGAUAUGGAAAACAUUUUAUGGAUAUUGUCUGCUGAACCAUAUAGGAACUCUGUGAGGGGCAAGUGCAUGCCUAGAGGCACUGUGGGAGUGGGAGAAAUAAGAAGUUUAGGGAGAAGUGAUGGACACAAGAAGAAAUUGGACAAUAUGAAGAGGAGAUGGACUAGUUAUAGGGCAAGGGAUGACAGGUAGAUGAGCCAGAGUAUUCCACUGAUACCUUCACAAUGUCAAAUGAAGCAAAGAAAGACUUUUAGCAUAUUCUGUGGAUUUUCUGUGGCACACUUAUGGGAGGACCUGGACAAAAAUCACCCAGGAUGUCCAGCUUCCUGAUCCUGACUUUGAAUUCUAGUGAAGAUUUGGCUUUUUGUGUUGGAGACACAGCCUGAAGAGGGAUGCUUACUCAGCCUCCUGACGACCCUACAGAGCAUGUGUGAUGGAUAUGUUCAGCCCCAAUUUACAGCUAAAGCUUGGCAACCUCCAUUUGAGUAGCUGAACCUAACAAGGAUUCUAGAGUCCUGGAAGAAAGCAAUAUGCAAAUGGAAUGGAAAGAAGUCAGGAAGCAGGGCAUCUUUUCUCAAGAGCUAGUAUUCACCCAGGACUUUGGAAGGAAAGCUGAAAUGAGGUGUGAGGACAAAAGGGCAUCAUCUCCUUUUUGUCAACCCAUGGAGAAAUUCUACUUUCUGGAUUCGAGACAGGUUUAGAAAGUCUGACAAUUGAUUUGGCAGCUCAGAUGAAUGCAGCCUGACAACUUAACCCAACAAACACCUGUUAAACACUGAAUAAAAAUGAUCUCUCUCCUCAGGAAGCUUACAUUCUCCCGGAGAGAUUCAGCUCAUAUACAGAUAAGUGAAUGUAAAGUACUUAUUUGAUUUAAGAAAACUUAAGAGGUAGAGAGAACUAACAAUUGAACAAUUGUGGCAUCC
This is a long non-coding RNA of Monodelphis domestica (gray short-tailed opossum), 4744 nucleotides long. RefSeq lists it as uncharacterized. Lineage: Eukaryota; Metazoa; Chordata; Mammalia; Didelphimorphia; Didelphidae. The record is from RefSeq and is a predicted model, not a curated record.